UGGGGAAUAUUGCACAAUGGAGGGAACUCUGAUGCAGCGACGCCGCAUGAGUGAUGAAGGAAUUCGUUUCGUAAAACUCUGUUCUAUGGGAAGAAAAGGACUGUACCAUAGGAGAAAGCUCCGGCUAAAUACGUGCCAGCAGCCGCGGUAAUACGUAUGGAGCGAGCGUUGUCCGGAAUUAUUGGGCGUAAAGGGUGCGCAGGCGGCUUUACAAGUUGGAUGUGAAAUAUUGUGGCUCAACCACAAACGUGCAUCCAAAACUGCAAAGCUUGAGUUAAGGAGAGGUAAGUGGAAUUCCUGGUGUAGCGGUGGAAUGCGUAGAUAUCAGGAGGAAUACCGGUGGCGAAGGCGACUUACUGGACUUAAACUGACGCUCAGGCACGAAAGCGUGGGGAGCAAACAGG
This 404-nucleotide ribosomal RNA is filed under the name Fusobacteriota bacterium. Its description in RNAcentral is "Fusobacteria bacterium partial 16S ribosomal RNA". It matches the Rfam family "Bacterial small subunit ribosomal RNA", at positions 355 to 776 of the family's 1533-position model. The record is from RNAcentral. Lineage: Bacteria; Fusobacteriati; Fusobacteriota.